GUAUAUUUACUGGCUAUUUGGUGGCUACGUGGGCUUUACAUGCAGUGCCUCUCUGACCUGUUUAUAUCCUCGUGUGUGGGUCUGUAUUCCCUCUCUCUCCCUGUGCCCCCAUUCCUGUGCAAUCAGAAUUGGAAUAUGGAGAAUGUCAAGUGUGAUACAAGAACCCUUAAUGUUACAGAAUCACAGAAAUAACGAGGUUGGAAAAGACCUUUGAGAUCAUCAAGUCCAACCUGUGACCUAACACCACCUCAUCAACUAAACCAUGGCACUGAGAGCCACAUCCAGUUUUCAACUGUUCUGUUUGGAAAGAAACUUUUGCUUUAAAACUUUUGACCUGUUCUAGGAAGGCAGAAAUAGCAUUUCCAGCCUCUGUGGCCACUGGGGAAUUUUCUGUGCAGAACAUCCCUGUGUGAAAAAGCUGCUGAAAGCUGUUCCCUGGAACAGAGCCACUUCACUCUCAGCUUCUCCAGCUCCCAUUUCAUGCAGGUGUAAUUGCAUUGGUACUGAGGUAAUAGUUUCUGUCUGGCUCCAAAGUGCUGGGAAUAUCCAGCCUUUCAGCUUGAAGUGAGAGAAAGGGAAGGGCUCUUGCAGGAUACCUGCCAUCAGCAGGACACAAAACUACUGCUUUUGAUGUUGGAUGGCAGAAGAUGUGCUCUGUGGGGAUUUGGGAGGAGAGUGGGGACCCCAGAGUGGGAGGUGAAGUAUCUCCUAGUCACUUGUGCACCUUUUUGUCUCCUAACCAGGGCUGUGUUGAGCCAGGCCUGGGUGUUUGCCUGCUGGCUGAGCUGUUGGACCUGUGUGUGCCAUGGGCAUGGCUGAGACUGGCUCAGGGAGAUGGGCCCCAGACAGCUGCAGGAAAGAACAUGAAAUGGUUAUUCCUUUGCUUGUGUAUGAUCAAAGAGCCUUUUGCAGAGGUGUGA
Molecule: long non-coding RNA, 920 nt
Filed under: Corvus moneduloides (New Caledonian crow)
Lineage: Eukaryota; Metazoa; Chordata; Aves; Passeriformes; Corvidae
Description: lncRNA (ENSCMUG00000017555.1)
Source: RNAcentral